CCUACGGGUGGCAGCAGUCGAGAAUCAUUCACAAUGGGGGAAACCCUGAUGGUGCGACGCCGCGUGGGGGAAUGAAGGUCUUCGGAUUGUAAACCCCUGUCAUGUGGGAGCAAAUUAAAAAGAUAGUACCACAAGAGGAAGAGACGGCUAACUCUGUGACAGCAGCCGCGGUAAUACAGAGGUCUCAAGCGUUGUUCGGAAUCACUGGGCGGAAAGCGUGCGUAGGCUGUUUCGUAAGUCGUGUGUGAAAGGCGCGGGCUCAACCCGCGGACGGCACAUGAUACUGCGGGACUAGAGUAAUGGAGGGGGAACCGGAAUUCUCGGUGUAGCAGUGAAAUGCGUAGAUAUCGAGAGGAACACUCGUGGCGAAGGCGGGUUCCUGGACAUUAACUGACGCUGAGGCACGAAGGCCAGGGGAGCGAAAGGGAUUAGAUACCCUGGUAGUC
Molecule: ribosomal RNA, 446 nt
Filed under: uncultured bacterium
Lineage: Bacteria
Description: partial 16S ribosomal RNA
Rfam family: Bacterial small subunit ribosomal RNA
Source: RNAcentral